GAUGAACGCUAGCGACAGGCCUAACACAUGCAAGCUGAACGGUAAGGUCCCGACUUGUCGGGAUACACGAGUAGCGAAUGGGUGAGUAACGCGUAUGUAACCUACUUAUAACAGGAAGAUAGCUCCGAGAAAUCGGAAUUAAUAUUCCAUAAUAUUCCAUAAUGGCAUCAUUGUGGUAUCAAAGUUCCGGCGGUUAUAAAUGGGCAUGCGUAACAUUAGUUUGUUGGUAGAGUAAAAGCCUACCAAGACUAUGAUGUUUAGGGGGUUUGAGAGGAUGGUCCCCCACACUGGUACUGAGACACGGACCAGACUCCUACGGGAGGCAGCAGUGAGGAAUAUUGGGCAAUGGGUGCAAGCCUGACCCAGCCAUGCCGCGUGCAGGAUAUGACAGUCUUACAGGCCGUAAACUGCUUUUAUACGGGAAGAAACCUCUGGACGUGUCCAGAGUUGACGGUACCGUACGAAUAAGGAUCGGCUAACUCCGUGCCAGCAGCCGCGGUAAUACGGAGGAUCCAAGCGUUAUCCGGAUUUACUGGGCUUAAAGCGUGCGUAGGCGGGAUAAUAAGUCAGUGGUGAAAGCCUACAGCUUAACUGUAGAAGUGCCAUUGAAACUGUUAUUCUUGAGUACAAUUGGAGUGGGCGGAAUGUGUCAUGUAGCGGUGAAAUGCAUAGAUAUGACGCAGAACACCAAUCGCGAAGGCAGCUCACUAAGUUGAUACUGACGCUGAGGUACGAAAGCGUGGGGGGCGAACAGGAUUAGAUACCCUGGUAGUCCACGCUGUAAACGUUGAUUACUAGAUGUAUGCAUUUUUUGUAUGUGUCAAAGCGAAAGCAUUAAGUAAUCCGCCUGGGGAGUACGAUCGCAAGGUUUAAACUCAAAGGAAUUGACGG
RNAcentral lists this ribosomal RNA (891 nucleotides) under uncultured bacterium. RNAcentral's name for it is "bacterial SSU rRNA". It matches the Rfam family "Bacterial small subunit ribosomal RNA", at positions 28 to 916 of the family's 1533-position model. The record is from RNAcentral.